CCGAGUAGAGUUUUGUAGUACCUGGCGUCACGGAUGAACGCUAGCGACAGGCUUACACAUGCAAGUCGAGGGGCGAGCGGGGCAGUGCUUGCACUGCCGCCGGCGACCGGCGCACGGGUGAGUAACACGUAUGCAACCUGCCUCUGUCAGGGGGAUAAUCGGCGGAAACGCCGUCUAAUACCGCGUAUAUUUCCAUGGGGCAUCCCAUGGGGAAGAAAGGCGCAAGCCGGGCAGAGAUGGGCAUGCGGCGCAUUAGGUAGUUGGGGGUGUAACGGACCACCAAGCCGACGAUGCGUAGGGGUUCUGAGAGGAAGGUCCCCCACACUGGUACUGAGACACGGACCAGACUCCUACGGGAGGCAGCAGUGAGGAAUAUUGGUCAAUGGGCGGGAGCCUGAACCAGCCAAGUCGCGUGAAGGAAGAAGGUACUUAGUAUUGUAAACUUCUUUUGUCGGGGAACAAAGGCGGAGACGCGUCUCCGGAUGAGUGUACCCGAAGAAAAAGCAUCGGCUAACUCCGUG
This 521-nucleotide ribosomal RNA is filed under the name uncultured Porphyromonadaceae bacterium. RNAcentral describes it as "bacterial SSU rRNA". It matches the Rfam family "Bacterial small subunit ribosomal RNA", at positions 1 to 507 of the family's 1533-position model. The record is from RNAcentral. Lineage: Bacteria; Pseudomonadati; Bacteroidota; Bacteroidia; Bacteroidales; Porphyromonadaceae.